Molecule: ribosomal RNA, 586 nt
Filed under: uncultured archaeon
Lineage: Archaea
Description: bacterial SSU rRNA
Rfam family: Archaeal small subunit ribosomal RNA
Source: RNAcentral
CUGCCGGACCUGACUGCUAUCUGAUUGGUACUAAGCCAUGCGAGUGAUCGAGCAAUACGACGCAGACGGCUCAGUAACACGUAGUCAACCUAACCUGUGGACGUGGAUAAUCUCGGGAAACUGAGGAUAAACCACGAUAGAUAACGGUGCCUGGAAUGGCCCAUUGUCCAAACAGUUUACUGCCACGGGAUGGGACUGCGGCCUAUCAGCUUGUUGGUGAGGUAAUGGCCCACCAAGGCUAUAACAGGUACGGGCUCUGAGAGGAGAAGCCCGGAGAUGGGUACUGAGACACGGACCCAGGCCCUAUGGGGCGCAGCAGGCGAGAAACCUUAGCAAUGUGCGAAAGCACGACUGGGUCAGUCCGAGUGAUUUCUGAUAAAGGAAUCUUUUGCUAGUCCUAAAAGCACUAGCGGAUAAGGGGUGGGCAAGUCUGGUGUCAGCCGCCGCGGUAAUACCAGCACCUCGAGUGGUCAGGACGAUUAUUGGGCCUAAAGCAUCCGUAGCUGGUUUUGCAAGUCUCCGGUUAAAUCCACCUGCUCAACAGAUGGGCCGCUGGAGAUACUACAAAACUAGGGAGUGGGAGAGG